This 470-nucleotide ribosomal RNA is filed under the name uncultured Pseudomonadota bacterium. Its description in RNAcentral is "bacterial SSU rRNA". It matches the Rfam family "Bacterial small subunit ribosomal RNA", at positions 33 to 499 of the family's 1533-position model. The record is from RNAcentral. Lineage: Bacteria; Pseudomonadati; Pseudomonadota.
ACGCUGGCGGUAGGCUUAACACAUGCAAGUCGAGCGAGAAAGUAUCUUCGGAUAUGAGUAGAGCGGCGGACGGGUGAGUAACGCGUAGGAAUCUACCUAGUAGAAGGGGAUAGCCCGGGGAAACUCGGAUUAAUACCGUAUACCUCCUAAGGGAGAAAGAGGGCCUCUCUUGAAGCUCUCGCUACUAGAUGAGCCUGCGUAAGAUUAGCUUGUUGGUAAGGUAAUGGCUUACCAAGGCUACGAUCUUUAGCUGGUCUGAGAGGACGAUCAGCCACAUUGGGACUGAGACACGGCCCAGACUCCUACGGGAGGCAGCAGUGGGGAAUAUUGGACAAUGGGCGCAAGCCUGAUCCAGCCAUACCGCGUGUGUGAAGAAGGCCUUCGGGUUGUAAAGCACUUUAAGCAGGGAGAAAAAGCAAUAAGUUAAUACCUUAUUGCCGUGAUGUUACCUGCAGAAUAAGCACCGGCUA